UACAGAGGUCUCAAGCGUUGUUCGGAUUCAUUGGGCGUAAAGGGUGCGUAGGCGGCGCGGUAAGUCGGGUGUGAAAUUUCGGAGCUUAACUCCGAAACUGCAUUCGAUACUGCCGUGCUUGAGGACUGGAGAGGAGACUGGAAUUUACGGUGUAGCAGUGAAAUGCGUAGAUAUCGUAAGGAAGACCAGUGGCGAAGGCGGGUCUCUGGACAACUCCUGACACUGAGGCACGAAAGCUAGGGGAGCAAACAGG
RNAcentral lists this ribosomal RNA (253 nucleotides) under uncultured bacterium. RNAcentral describes it as "partial 16S ribosomal RNA". It matches the Rfam family "Bacterial small subunit ribosomal RNA", at positions 524 to 776 of the family's 1533-position model. The record is from RNAcentral.